This 48-nucleotide non-coding RNA is filed under the name Schistosoma mattheei. The record is from RNAcentral. Lineage: Eukaryota; Metazoa; Platyhelminthes; Trematoda; Strigeidida; Schistosomatidae.
AUUCAGCUGAAGAGUCCUAAAUAGGAUGAAACUCACGUCAAACUGGAU